AGGAUAGUAGUUAAAAAUAACAUUUGGGUUGCAUUCAAAAGGUAUUGACAAUAAUCAAUCUAUCUUA
RNAcentral lists this transfer RNA (67 nucleotides) under Panchlora nivea. RNAcentral describes it as "tRNA-Ala". The record is from RNAcentral. Lineage: Eukaryota; Metazoa; Arthropoda; Insecta; Blattodea; Blaberidae.